UUAAGUUCAGCGGGUAUUCCUACCUGAUCCGAGGUCAAAACUUUCAGAAGUUGGGGUUUAACGGCGUGGCCGAGCCGCGCUCCGGUGCGAGGUUUCAUAAGCUACUACGCAGAGGAGGCUGCGGCAGGACCGCCACUGAUUUUAGGGGGCGGCGACCCGCGACGAGGCGGGGCCGGUCCCCAACACCAGGCCCCCUGGGG
This 200-nucleotide unclassified non-coding RNA is filed under the name Hypomyces sp. RNAcentral describes it as "partial internal transcribed spacer 2". The record is from RNAcentral. Lineage: Eukaryota; Fungi; Ascomycota; Sordariomycetes; Hypocreales; Hypocreaceae.